GAGCCUCGGGGGCGACUCCACCUAAUUCAAGGGAGCCGAUCCCUGACAACGGUGGGGUUUUUUUCAGCGCCGGAGCCGGUGACAGAGGUGCCCAAUUCGCAGCCCCGAGGGCGCGGGGGCCCCGAGGGUGAGUACGGGGGAAGGGCUGGGAGCCCGGGGACCGGCUGGCCCUGACCACGGCUUCUGCCCUGGCAGAUGUGGUGCCUGCCCGGGGCACCGCGGUCCCAUCGCAGUCCUGCGGCCCGUGCCUGGCGCUCGUGCUCCUGGCCCCGCUCUGGAUCUGACCCCGGCGCUGCCCGUGGCGGGGGGAUGGGCUCCCCUGCCCCGACGCCGCUUCCAGACUCUUCCUCACAGCCAAACCCCCCAAGCCCGUGGGGCAGCCCCAGGCCAUGACCCGCCUGCUGGACCUCCGCAAAGCCGAGCUGGGGCCGGGAGCUCCGGGCCGGAAGGACCGUCGCUUGCCACCGGCAUCAGCGCACAUCGGGAUCGCCACGAGUCGGCAUCGCCGCGCGCCGGGAUUGCCACGCCCUGGCGCUGUCCCGCCGGCCACCUGCCCCGGUGCCGGGGUCCCCUCAGCGAACGCCUGCUCUGCCCCACGGCUAUCACCUCAUCUCGUGCCUUUCCCCAUGGACCCCCGGCUCUGGGGCCCAGGGACCCCCAACCCCGGCGCGGGGCAGCCGCCCCCCCCCCCCCCCCCCCCCCCUCCGAUGGCGGCAUCCGCCGCUGCCGUGUCCUCCUCCAGCGAGGACACGCUGAUCUGUCUUCUGGGAAGACGCCUUCCUCCGUGCCCUCGGUUUGGUUUUAACCCCUGGUAGUGACUGAGCAAUACAGUAUUUGCAAGAUCGCUGCGCCCCGGGUGUGCGGCCCCCCCGGCGUCCCCCUGCCCGUGCCCCCCAUCCCUGCAUCCUUCCUCCAGGGGGGUCCCUGCCCCUUGUUCCCCGCACAGCCUUUGUGGCCGAGGGCUUGACU
This 969-nucleotide long non-coding RNA is filed under the name Ficedula albicollis (Collared flycatcher). RNAcentral's name for it is "lncRNA (ENSFALG00000018332.2)". Lineage: Eukaryota; Metazoa; Chordata; Aves; Passeriformes; Muscicapidae. The record is from RNAcentral.